AGUGAACGCUGGCGGUAGGCCUAACACAUGCAAGUCGAACGGCAGCACAGUAAGAGCUUGCUCUUACGGGUGGCGAGUGGCGGACGGGUGAGGAAUACAUCGGAAUCUACUUUUUCGGGGGGGAUAACGUAGGGAAACUUACGCUAAUACCGCAUACGACCUACGGGUGAAAGCAGGGGAUCUUCGGACCUUGCGCGAUUGAAUGAGCCGAUGUCGGAUUAGCUAGUUGGCGGGGUAAAGGCCCACCAAGGCGACGAUCCGUAGCUGGUCUGAGAGGAUGAUCAGCCACACUGGAACUGAGACACGGUCCAGACUCCUACGGGAGGCAGCAGUGGGGAAUAUUGGACAAUGGGCGCAAGCCUGACCCAGCCAUACCGCGUGGGUGAAGAAGGCCUUCGGGUUGUAAAGCCCUUUUGUUGGGAAAGAAAAGCAGCAGGUUAAUACGCCGCUGUUCUGACGGUACCCAAAGAAUAAGCACCGGCUAACUUCGUG
RNAcentral lists this ribosomal RNA (492 nucleotides) under uncultured bacterium. Its description in RNAcentral is "partial 16S ribosomal RNA". It matches the Rfam family "Bacterial small subunit ribosomal RNA", at positions 29 to 507 of the family's 1533-position model. The record is from RNAcentral.